Molecule: ribosomal RNA, 1370 nt
Filed under: uncultured bacterium
Lineage: Bacteria
Description: bacterial SSU rRNA
Rfam family: Bacterial small subunit ribosomal RNA
Source: RNAcentral
AGAGUUUGAUCCUGGCUCAGGACGAACGCUGGCGGCGCGCCUAACACAUGCAAGUCGAACGAGCGAGAGAGAGCUUGCUUUCUCGAGCGAGUGGCGAACGGGUGAGUAACGCGUGAGGAACCUGCCUCAAAGAGGGGGACAACAGUUGGAAACGACUGCUAAUACCGCAUAAGCCCACGGUGCCGCAUGGCACAGAGGGAAAAGGAGCAAUCCGCUUUGAGAUGGCCUCGCGUCCGAUUAGCUAGUUGGUGAGGUAAUGGCCCACCAAGGCAACGAUCGGUAGCCGGACUGAGAGGUUGAACGGCCACAUUGGGACUGAGACACGGCCCAGACUCCUACGGGAGGCAGCAGUGGGGAAUAUUGCACAAUGGGGGAAACCCUGAUGCAGCGACGCCGCGUGGAGGAAGAAGGUCUUCGGAUUGUAAACUCCUGUUGUUGGGGAAGAUAAUGACGGUACCCAACAAGGAAGUGACGGCUAACUACGUGCCAGCAGCCGCGGUAAAACGUAGGUCACAAGCGUUGUCCGGAAUUACUGGGUGUAAAGGGAGCGCAGGCGGGAAGACAAGUUGGAAGUGAAAUCUAUGGGCUCAACCCAUAAACUGCUUUCAAAACUGUUUUUCUUGAGUAGUGCAGAGGUAGGCGGAAUUCCCGGUGUAGCGGUGGAAUGCGUAGAUAUCGGGAGGAACACCAGUGGCGAAGGCGGCCUACUGGGCACCAACUGACGCUGAGGCUCGAAAGUGUGGGUAGCAAACAGGAUUAGAUACCCUGGUAGUCCACACCGUAAACGAUGAUUACUAGGUGUUGGAGGAUUGACCCCUUCAGUGCCGCAGUUAACACAAUAAGUAAUCCACCUGGGGAGUACGACCGCAAGGUUGAAACUCAAAGGAAUUGACGGGGGCCCGCACAAGCAGUGGAGUAUGUGGUUUAAUUCGACGCAACGCGAAGAACCUUACCAAGUCUUGACAUCCCUUGACAGACAUAGAAAUAUGUUUUCUCUUCGGAGCAAGGAGACAGGUGGUGCAUGGUUGUCGUCAGCUCGUGUCGUGAGAUGUUGGGUUAAGUCCCGCAACGAGCGCAACCCUUAUGGUCAGUUACUACGCAAGAGGACUCUGGCCAGACUGCCGUUGACAAAACGGAGGAAAGUGGGGAUGACGUCAAAUCAUCAUGCCCUUUAUGACUUGGGCUACACACGUACUACAAUGGCGUUAAACAAAGAGAAGCAAGACCGCGAGGUGGAGCAAAACUCAGAAACAACGUCCCAGUUCGGACUGCAGGCUGCAACUCGCCUGCACGAAGUCGGAAUUGCUAGUAAUCGUGGAUCAGCAUGCCACGGUGAAUACGUUCCCGGGCCUUGUACUCACCGCCCGUCA